This 253-nucleotide ribosomal RNA is filed under the name uncultured bacterium. RNAcentral describes it as "partial 16S ribosomal RNA". It matches the Rfam family "Bacterial small subunit ribosomal RNA", at positions 524 to 776 of the family's 1533-position model. The record is from RNAcentral.
GACAGAGGGUGCGAGCGUUAAUCGGAAUUACUGGGCGUAAAGCGCACGUAGGUGGCGACGUAAGUCGGGUGUGAAAGCGCCGGGCUCAACCUGGGAAUUGCAUUCGAGACUGCAUUGCUGGAGUACGGAAGAGUAGGGCGGAAUUCCCGGUGUAGCGGUGAAAUGCGUAGAUAUCGGGAGGAACAUCAGUGGCGAAGGCAGCCCUCUGGUCCAGUACUGACACUCAAGUGCGAAAGCGUGGGGAGCAAACAGG